This 392-nucleotide ribosomal RNA is filed under the name uncultured ammonia-oxidizing bacterium. Its description in RNAcentral is "bacterial SSU rRNA". It matches the Rfam family "Bacterial small subunit ribosomal RNA", at positions 223 to 607 of the family's 1533-position model. The record is from RNAcentral.
GGAGUGGCCGAUGCCUGAUUAGCUAGUUGGUGGGGUAAGGGCCUACCAAGGCGACGAUCAGUAGUUGGUCUGAGAGGACGACCAGCCACACUGGGACUGAGACACGGCCCAGACUCCUACGGGAGGCAGCAGUGGGGAAUUUUGGACAAUGGGCGAAAGCCUGAUCCAGCAAUGCCGCGUGAGUGAAGAAGGCCUUCGGGUUGUAAAGCUCUUUCAGUCGAGAAGAAAAGGUUGUGACUAAUAAUCGCAACUUAUGACGGUAUCGACAGAAGAAGCACCGGCUAACUACGUGCCAGCAGCCGCGGUAAUACGUAGGGUGCGAGCGUUAAUCGGAAUUACUGGGCGUAAAGGGUGCGCAGGCGGCUUUGUAAGUCAGAUGGGAAUGCCCCGGG